CCUACGGGUGGCUGCAGUGGGGAAUAUUGGACAAUGGGGGCAACCCUGAUCCAGCCAUGCCGCGUGUGUGAAGAAGGCCCUCGGGUUGUAAAGCACUUUCAGUGAGGAAGAACGCCUGGUGGUUAAUACCCAUCAGGAAAGACAUCACUCACAGAAGAAGCACCGGCUAACUCCGUGCCAGCAGCCGCGGUAAUACGGAGGGUGCGAGCGUUAAUCGGAAUUACUGGGCGUAAAGCGCGCGUAGGUGGCUUGAUAAGCCGGUUGUGAAAGCCCCGGGCUCAACCUGGGAACGGCAUCCGGAACUGUCAAGCUAGAGUGCAGGAGAGGAAGGUAGAAUUCCCGGUGUAGCGGUGAAAUGCGUAGAGAUCGGGAGGAAUACCAGUGGCGAAGGCGGCCUUCUGGACUGACACUGACACUGAGGUGCAAAAGCGUGGGUAGCAAACAGGAUUAGAUACCCGAGUAGUC
Molecule: ribosomal RNA, 465 nt
Filed under: Vreelandella stevensii
Lineage: Bacteria; Pseudomonadati; Pseudomonadota; Gammaproteobacteria; Oceanospirillales; Halomonadaceae
Description: partial 16S ribosomal RNA
Rfam family: Bacterial small subunit ribosomal RNA
Source: RNAcentral